GAUGAACGCUGACAGAAUGCUUAACACAUGCAAGUCAACUUGAACUUCGGUUUGGGUGGCGGACGGGUGAGUAACGCGUAAAGAACUUGCCUCACAGAUAGGGACAACAUUUGGAAACGAAUGCUAAUACCUGAUAUUAUGAUUAUAUGGCAUCGUAUAAUUAUGAAAGCUAUAUGCGCUGUGAGAGAGCUUUGCGUCCCAUUAGCUAGUUGGAGAGGUAACGGCUCACCAAGGCGAUGAUGGGUAGCCGGCCUGAGAGGGUGAUCGGCCACAAGGGGACUGAGACACGGCCCUUACGCCUACGGGAGGCAGCAGUGGGGAAUAUUGGACAAUGGACCAAGAGUCUGAUCCAGCAAUUCUGUGUGCACGAUGAAGUUUUUCGGAAUGUAAAGUGCUUUCAGUUGGGAAGAAAAAAAUGACGGUACCAACAGAAGAAGUGACGGCUAAAUACGUG
RNAcentral lists this ribosomal RNA (454 nucleotides) under uncultured bacterium. RNAcentral's name for it is "partial 16S ribosomal RNA". It matches the Rfam family "Bacterial small subunit ribosomal RNA", at positions 28 to 507 of the family's 1533-position model. The record is from RNAcentral.